GGCAAAGUGAAGAGGCCUUGUAAUCUGUAGCUAUGUGAUGUUGUUACAUACAUUCAUGGUCUUCAGAAUUCUCUUAGGACUCAUUUGUU
This 89-nucleotide small nucleolar RNA is filed under the name Zea mays. RNAcentral describes it as "Small nucleolar RNA R160". It matches the Rfam family "Small nucleolar RNA R160". Rfam says of the family: snoR160 is a C/D box small nucleolar RNA, which acts as a methylation guide for 25S ribosomal RNA in plants. snoR160 has been alternatively named snoZ270 in rice. Lineage: Eukaryota; Viridiplantae; Streptophyta; Magnoliopsida; Poales; Poaceae. The record is from Rfam by way of RNAcentral.